Molecule: transfer RNA, 69 nt
Filed under: Marmota monax (woodchuck)
Lineage: Eukaryota; Metazoa; Chordata; Mammalia; Rodentia; Sciuridae
Rfam family: tRNA
About the family: Transfer RNA (tRNA) molecules are approximately 80 nucleotides in length. Their secondary structure includes four short double-helical elements and three loops (D, anti-codon, and T loops). Further hydrogen bonds mediate the characteristic L-shaped molecular structure. tRNAs have two regions of fundamental functional importance: the anti-codon, which is responsible for specific mRNA codon recognition, and the 3' end, to which the tRNAs corresponding amino acid is attached (by aminoacyl-tRNA synthetases). tRNAs cope with the degeneracy of the genetic code in two manners: having more than one tRNA (with a specific anti-codon) for a particular amino acid; and 'wobble' base-pairing, i.e. permitting non-standard base-pairing at the 3rd anti-codon position.
Source: Rfam by way of RNAcentral
GGGGUUGUGGCUCAGCAGUAGAGCGCUUGCCUAGCAAGCACAGGUCUAUGGGUUCGAUCCUCAACACCA